RNAcentral lists this ribosomal RNA (450 nucleotides) under uncultured bacterium. RNAcentral's name for it is "partial 16S ribosomal RNA". It matches the Rfam family "Bacterial small subunit ribosomal RNA", at positions 354 to 796 of the family's 1533-position model. The record is from RNAcentral.
GUGGGGAAUAUUGGACAAUGGGCGAAAGCCUGAUCCAGCCAUGCCGCGUGUGUGAAGAAGGUCUUCGGAUUGUAAAGCACUUUAAGUUGGGAGGAAGGGCAGUAAGUUAAUACCUUGCUGUUUUGACGUUACCGACAGAAUAAGCACCGGCUAACUUCGUGCCAGCAGCCGCGGUAAUACGAAGGGUGCAAGCGUUAAUCGGAAUUACUGGGCGUAAAGCGCGCGUAGGUGGUUUUGUAAGUUGGAGGUGAAAUCCCCGGGCUCAACCUGGGAACGGCCUCCAAAACUGCAUGACUAGAGUACGGUAGAGGGUUGUGGAAUUUCCUGUGUAGCGGUGAAAUGCGUAGAUAUAGGAAGGAACACCAGUGGCGAAGGCGACUACCUGGACUGAUACUGACACUGAGGUGCGAAAGCGUGGGGAGCAAACAGGAUUAGAAACCCGUGUAGUCC